UGGCUCUCACAGUAUAAGUACUGCCGUCCUCAUGGCUCCUGCAGAUCCGUCAGAGAACUUCCACCUCUGUGAUCCAAAGCUGUCAGACGUGUCGGAGUUUGUGCUUGCCGGCCAUCAUGGGGGUUCUCCGUCUGCUGCUGGUGCUGGUCCUGUUUGCCGUGGGAAUGAACCCCAUCAACGCAGGAGGCGUGUUUGGCGACUCUGGUGAAUCUGGGGAAUCCGGUCAGAUGACCCAGGGGCACAUUAUGCCGAGGCCGCCUCAACACCCCCAUCACCCCCACCACCCCCAUCACCAUCAUCAUCAUCACAAGCCGCAUUCCUGCCCUCACCACCACCACCACCAUAAACAUCCCUUACCUUGCCCACACCACCACCCCCACCAUCCCCAUCACCCCCACCACCCUCACCAGCAUCCCCACCACGAACACCCACCGCACCACUACCCAUUCUGGUGGAUGCACCUGCCUUUUCUGCGCCACAAGUUCUGCCACCACAAUAAAUACUAGCAGAUGUGAGGAGGUCGACCGCGUCUCAUCCUGUCGAAAUAAAAUGAUUUUUGAAAAAUGUA
Oryzias latipes (Japanese medaka) is the source of this 568-nucleotide long non-coding RNA. RefSeq lists it as uncharacterized. The record is from RefSeq and is a predicted model, not a curated record. NCBI's taxonomy places the organism in Eukaryota, Metazoa, Chordata, Actinopteri, Beloniformes, Adrianichthyidae.